CGGACUACUGGGGUUUCUAAUCCUGUUUGCUCCCCACGCUUUCGCGCCUCAGCGUCAGUUACAGGCCAGGAAGCCGCCUUCGCCACUGGUGUUCCUCCACAUCUCUACGCAUUUCACCGCUACACGUGGAAUUCCGCUCUCCUCUUCUGUACUCAAGCUCCCCAGUUUCCAAUGACCGCUCACGGUUGAGCCGCGAGAUUUCACAUCAGACUUAAGAAGCCGCCUGCGCGCGCUUUACGCCCAAUAAUUCCGGACAACGCUUGCCACCUACGUAUUACCGCGGCUGCUGGCACU
This 294-nucleotide unclassified non-coding RNA is filed under the name uncultured Bacillaceae bacterium. RNAcentral's name for it is "contains 16S-23S intergenic spacer region". Lineage: Bacteria; Bacillati; Bacillota; Bacilli; Caryophanales; Bacillaceae. The record is from RNAcentral.